This 604-nucleotide unclassified non-coding RNA is filed under the name Hevea brasiliensis (rubber tree). The record is from RNAcentral. Lineage: Eukaryota; Viridiplantae; Streptophyta; Magnoliopsida; Malpighiales; Euphorbiaceae.
GAAUUCAAGGAAGGGAAUUUUAAACCUCCAGAAAUAAAAUCGAACAUAAAUCUGCCGGAAACUGUGGAUUUGUUUGGGCAAAAGAUAAGUCUCUCUCCUGUACAGCAAUCUCUAGGUCCUCUGGAAAACGCUGUGGCAGGCAUAGCACGAACUAUUUCUGGUCAGCCUCCUCUCAAGAUCCCAAUUCCAGGUGGAAGGACAAAAUCCUGGCUUCUCACAACCUACCUUGAUAAGGAUAUGCGGAUCUCCAGAGGCGAUGGUGGGCUUUUUGUGCUUGUUAAGGAAGGGAGUUCUCUUCUAUAUUAGUAAGGUAUCCAUUAUCCUAUAUUGUGAUUUACAAAUGUCUUAGGAACUGCAAUGGUAUGUACUGCUACAUCGAUUUAUCGCGGGAUGUAGAGUUUAAAACUCCUUAGCUGUAAGGUGGGACACUCUUUUAGGACUCAAGUACUUGCACUGAAUUAUCUCAGGAUCAAGCUGUGAGAUUAGUCCUAGUAAGAAGUGUGCUGAAAUAAAAUGUGAUAUAGCUUUGCAUUUUCCUAUGUAGUAAGAUAACGAUGUUUCAGUAAUUUGGAGGUCAAUCAUCUGUAAUUUCAGCUUAUCUGGA